This 497-nucleotide ribosomal RNA is filed under the name uncultured bacterium. RNAcentral describes it as "partial 16S ribosomal RNA". It matches the Rfam family "Bacterial small subunit ribosomal RNA", at positions 28 to 507 of the family's 1533-position model. The record is from RNAcentral.
GAUGAACGCUGGCGGCGUGCCUAAUACAUGCAAGUCGAGCGAACAGACGAGGAGCUUGCUCCUUUGACGUUAGCGGCGGACGGGUGAGUAACACGUAGGUAACCUACCUAUAAGACUGGGAUAACUUCGGGAAACCGGAGCUAAUACCGGAUAAUAUUUCGAACCGCAUGGUUCGAUAGUGAAAGAUGGCUUUGCUAUCACUUAUAGAUGGACCUGCGCCGUAUUAGCUAGUUGGUAAGGUAACGGCUUACCAAGGCAACGAUACGUAGCCGACCUGAGAGGGUGAUCGGCCACACUGGAACUGAGACACGGACCAGACUCCUACGGGAGGCAGCAGUAGGGAAUCUUCCGCAAUGGGCGAAAGCCUGACGGAGCAACGCCGCGUGAGUGAUGAAGGUCUUCGGAUCGUAAAACUCUGUUAUUAGGGAAGAACAAACGUGUAAGUAACUGUGCACGUCUUGACGGUACCUAAUCAGAAAGCCACGGCUAACUACGUG